AUUGCCAUUUUCACGAGAGGCAAGAUAAUCAUAAGAACGAUAGCUUUGGCUGUUGAAGAUUAGUCCCAAAGCGAAAUUUGCUGUGGCAUCGGCGAGCAAGUAACCCGACCAUAUCAGCAAGAUUGUAAUCUUGUAUGAAGUCCAUUUCCUUAACGGGGCUAAUCCAAUGAGAAUGAUCUGCAACAAGAGGCUGAACAGAACAGCUCCUCUGAUAUUCCAAUGUUCCCACACUCUCUUCACCCUAUCUGCGAUGGGACUAAACAUUUCCUCUGUUUGCUCUUCCUUCAGAUUGGAAUUCGAUGUGGAAAACUCAAGCG
This 317-nucleotide unclassified non-coding RNA is filed under the name Hevea brasiliensis (rubber tree). The record is from RNAcentral. Lineage: Eukaryota; Viridiplantae; Streptophyta; Magnoliopsida; Malpighiales; Euphorbiaceae.